This 899-nucleotide ribosomal RNA is filed under the name uncultured Verrucomicrobiota bacterium. RNAcentral's name for it is "bacterial SSU rRNA". It matches the Rfam family "Bacterial small subunit ribosomal RNA", at positions 58 to 929 of the family's 1533-position model. The record is from RNAcentral. Lineage: Bacteria; Pseudomonadati; Verrucomicrobiota.
CAAGUCGAGCGGGAUACAGGCUGUAGCAAUAUGGCUUGUGUUCAGCGGCGCAAGGGUGCGUAACACGUGGGCAAUUUGCCAUGAAGUUUGGGAUAAUCCCGCGAAAGCGGGACUAAUACCGGAUGUGGAAGCUGGGAGGCAUCUUCUGGAUUCUAAAGUUGGGGACCGAAAGGCCUGACGCUUUAUGAUAAGCCCGCGGCCUAUCAGCUAGUUGGUGAGGUAACGGCUCACCAAGGCAAAGACGGGUAGCUGGUCUGAGAGGACGACCAGCCACACUGGAACUGAGACACGGUCCAGACACCUACGGGUGGCAGCAGUCGAGAAUUUUUCACAAUGGGCGAAAGCCUGAUGGAGCGACGCCGCGUGGGGGAUGAAUGGCUUCGGCCCGUAAACCCCUGUCAUUUGCGAACAAACCUUGUUCAUGAAUAGUGGACAAGCUGAUUGUAGCGGAAGAGGAAGGGACGGCUAACUCUGUGCCAGCAGCCGCGGUAAUACAGAGGUCCCGAGCGUUGUUCGGAUUCACUGGGCGUAAAGGGUGCGUAGGUGGUGGGGUAAGUCGGAUGUGAAAUCUCCGGGCUCAACCCGGAAACUGCAUUGGAAACUACCUUGCUAGAGGUUUUGAGGGGGGACUGGAAUUCUCGGUGUAGCAGUGAAAUGCGUAGAUAUCGAGAGGAACACCAGUGGCGAAGGCGAGUCCCUGGAAAACACCUGACACUGAGGCACGAAAGCUAGGGGAGCAAACAGGAUUAGAUACCCUGGUAGUCCUAGCCCUAAACGGUGCUUGCUUGCUGUAAGUGGAAUCGACCCCACUUGUGGCGGAGCUAACGCGUUAAGCAAGCCGCCUGGGAAGUACGGUCGCAAGAUUAAAACUCAUAGAAAUUGACGGGGGCCUGCACAAG